GGGUCAGUAGGUUGGUCGUGCCACCGGUACGUACUGGUCUCACUGAUUCCUCCUUCCUGAAGAACCGUAAUGCCAUUAAUUUGGUGUUGCGGGGAAACAGGACUGUUACUUAGAAAAAAUUAGAGUGUUUAAAGCAAGCUAACGCUUGAAUACAUUAGCAUGGAAUAAUGAAAUAGGACGAUCGAUCCUAUUUUGUUGGUUUCUAGAAUUGACGUA
Molecule: ribosomal RNA, 216 nt
Filed under: Glomeromycotina sp.
Lineage: Eukaryota; Fungi; Glomeromycota
Description: partial small subunit ribosomal RNA
Rfam family: Eukaryotic small subunit ribosomal RNA (bases 40-216)
Source: RNAcentral